ACUGCUGCUGCCGCCGGCGUAACCGCCGCCGCCUCCGUAACCUCCGCCUCCGCUGUAACCUCCAGAGCCCCGGGCACCUCCGCCGAUGCCUCUGGAUGGUGAGGUUGAGUUCGGAGAUCUCCGUCCUGCUGGUCUUCAGCUCGUCUCCAUGUCUUCCCGCUGUGAUCUGGAGCUCCUGGUACUGAGGGUCAAGGGCAGCAUCAUGGUCAGCCUGCUGCUCAUCACACACUUCUCCAGGAAAGAGCCAUCGACAAAACCGGGGCUCAAUGACUGUUACAGAGGAAGCAGAGAGGGGUGCCUCUGAAGAAAACAAGGGAGAGCAUGGGCUCAAGUGCAUCUCUGCAUUCUGAAGUCUUCACUGUUGACCAUAUGUCUCCCCCGUCUGGCACUCAGAACACCUGCCUACAGGACAGUGGGAUAGAGGCCAGCCACGAUUGGAGUUGGUCACAGGUAAUCCACAAAGCAAAUCUCCAACGCCAGGUGUUCAGAAUUUAGUGACCGGCCUUUGACUCUUAACUGCAGUGUUCGCCCUCCAGAAAGUUCCGAGUCCAUUUAUGUUAAACAAGUCACCGAAGAUGUGCCCCAAAAUUUAGCUACAAAGAUGUUUAUCUGAAAACUGGAGACAUAUUCUUACCAUGAAAUACCACACUGCUCUUAAAAAUGAUGUCAAAUAGUUAAUGUCAGAGAAAGGUAUUCACAAGUAAUAAAUGAAAGAGAAAAAUAUAAAAAGAUAUUUUUAAAGAUAUAAUUAUGAAAAAAAUAAGAAAACAUCAUGGUGGCUGACAGCAUGGAUGUGUAGAUGGUAUACCUGAAUUUAAUUAAGUUCUGCCUCUGCUACUUCCAAACCAUAAGAGCCAAGGGAAAUUGGUAACCUCAUACUCUGGUAUUGGUAAAACAAUAAAAGAAUCUUUACCUCAUAGCGUUGUUGUAAGGAGUAAAUGAAAUUCUAUGUAUAACAGGA
Non-coding RNA from Odocoileus virginianus texanus, 961 nucleotides. The record is from RefSeq and is a predicted model, not a curated record. NCBI's taxonomy places the organism in Eukaryota, Metazoa, Chordata, Mammalia, Artiodactyla, Cervidae.